This 211-nucleotide ribosomal RNA is filed under the name uncultured Acholeplasma sp. RNAcentral describes it as "partial 16S ribosomal RNA". It matches the Rfam family "Bacterial small subunit ribosomal RNA", at positions 1171 to 1378 of the family's 1533-position model. Lineage: Bacteria; Bacillati; Mycoplasmatota; Mollicutes; Acholeplasmatales; Acholeplasmataceae. The record is from RNAcentral.
GGUGGGGGAUGACGUCAAAUCAUCAUGCCCCUUAUGACCUGGGCUACAAACGUGAUACAAUGGCUGGAACAAAGGGAUGCGAAGCAGUGAUGUGGAGCGAAACCCAUAAAAACAGUCUCAGUUCGGAUUGAAGUCUGCAACUCGACUUCAUGGAGUCGGAAUCGCUAGUAAUCGCGGAUCAGAACGCCGCGGUGAAUACGUUCUCGGGGUU